AAGGUACGUAUCUCUAACCCUAAUUUCAUCAAAUUCAUUAACAAGUAUUCGAAAUCUCAUAGUUCUGUUUAUGAUUGUUUUGUAAACCCUAACCUCCAUCGUUAACCCCAAAAUUGAUGUUUCUUUGUAGAAGAUUGAAGAUUGUUCUUUGUUUUUCAAUGAAUUAUGAAGAAUGACGGUCGGUGGUUCUGAUUGGGUUUUUGUUGACGACUUUGAUGUUCAAUGUUUGUGUAGAUUUAUCUACUUCGCGAAUUAACAGGGAAUUGGAAACCUUAAUUUGAAUUAUUGGACUUCCAUCUGUUGUCAAGAAGAUAGCGAUGGUUCACAGGAAAUUGGAGUUUUCUAUGGGGAUUCCCCCUUUUAUCUUGAACCCAUUGAAGAUAUGACAAUUGUAACAAAAAUGGUUCAAAGUCAGCUUUCUGGAACAAGUUGUCUGGGCUUCUACAGGCAAGUUGCACAACUGACCAGUUAUGUAUAACGAAGAAGCAUUUGUUGUCCAUCAUAUGACCUCGGUGCCAGAGGCUAAGCAACGCAAGGCUGGUGUUGUAUCUGUUUGGGUCAGAGAACCUUAAAAAGAUGCUUCUUGAAUAUUUUGGGCUUUGAGGAAUAUGUUAUUACUAUGGAUUAUGUAAGAAUUUAUAUUUUAGACAUAGGUGGAGUUCUGACCAAUGUAAUGGGAGAAUUCAAAAGCAAGCUUUUGUUUACUGGGGUGAGUUUUAAAUCACCUAAAUUACACACCAGACCAGUUCUAUUUUGGAGUUGAGCUAUAAAUUCAUUGCACCCAUAUAUAUAUGUUGUACUUGAAGGCAAAUGGAAAGAAGGUUACCUAGCAAUGGCUCCAGUAGGUGCAACAAAUGUAGGGUAGGGAUGAGCUUAGUACCGAAAAUCCCCAAAAGUAUGUCCACUUCUUCAUUAGUUUAUGUAAUACAGUAUUUUUUUUCUAUUUAAUCUAUUUAUAUAUUUAUGAUCUA
Molecule: long non-coding RNA, 971 nt
Organism: Helianthus annuus (common sunflower)
Lineage: Eukaryota; Viridiplantae; Streptophyta; Magnoliopsida; Asterales; Asteraceae
Exons: 4
Source: RefSeq, a predicted model, not a curated record